ACGAAGGGGGCUAGCGUUGUUCGGAAUCACUGGGCGUAAAGGGCGCGUAGGUGGUGGCUUAAGCGUGCGGUGAAAGCUCGGAGCUCAACUCCGAGUCGGCCGUGCGAACUGGGCUCACUGGAGCAUAGUAGAGGCAGGUGGAAUUCCGGGUGUAGCGGUGGAAUGCGUAGAGAUCCGGAAGAACACCGGUGGCGAAGGCGGCCCGCUGGGCAGGAAGACGGAGCAAUCCGUCGGCUGACACUGAGGCGCGACAGCGUGGGGAGCAAACAGGA
This 272-nucleotide ribosomal RNA is filed under the name uncultured prokaryote. RNAcentral's name for it is "partial 16S ribosomal RNA". It matches the Rfam family "Bacterial small subunit ribosomal RNA", at positions 525 to 777 of the family's 1533-position model. The record is from RNAcentral.